This 504-nucleotide ribosomal RNA is filed under the name marine sediment bacterium ISA-3244-a. RNAcentral describes it as "bacterial SSU rRNA". It matches the Rfam family "Bacterial small subunit ribosomal RNA", at positions 45 to 530 of the family's 1533-position model. The record is from RNAcentral.
UGCCUAAUACAUGCAAGUCGAGCGAACUGAUUAGAAGCUUGCUUCUAUGACGUUAGCGGCGGACGGGUGAGUAACACGUGGGCAACCUGCCUGUAAGACUGGGAUAACUUCGGGAAACCGAAGCUAAUACCGGAUAGGAUCUUCUCCUUCAUGGGAGAUGAUUGAAAGAUGGUUUCGGCUAUCACUUACAGAUGGGCCCGCGGUGCAUUAGCUAGUUGGUGAGGUAACGGCUCACCAAGGCAACGAUGCAUAGCCGACCUGAGAGGGUGAUCGGCCACACUGGGACUGAGACACGGCCCAGACUCCUACGGGAGGCAGCAGUAGGGAAUCUUCCGCAAUGGACGAAAGUCUGACGGAGCAACGCCGCGUGAGUGAUGAAGGCUUUCGGGUCGUAAAACUCUGUUGUUAGGGAAGAACAAGUACGAGAGUAACUGCUCGUACCUUGACGGUACCUAACCAGAAAGCCACGGCUAACUACGUGCCAGCAGCCGCGGUAAUACGUAG